Long non-coding RNA from Equus asinus (donkey), 2571 nucleotides. The record is from Ensembl. NCBI's taxonomy places the organism in Eukaryota, Metazoa, Chordata, Mammalia, Perissodactyla, Equidae.
AGUCUCCCUUUCCUAACCCUCACGGAAGUUUCCCACAGCCUGCAGCAGUCCUUCUUGUAGCCAGCCAAUCUCGCCCAGCUCCACUCCACCAGCAGCCCGUCAGGAGGAGCCUGGGCCAUCUCCGGCAGUGACCAGACUGUGUCCUGAGACCUUCAGCCUCCUCCUUCUCCCACUCUCUGUUUCUCCAACUGGCUGUUCCCUGCCUCCCUCCCGGCCCAGCCUCCCAUGGCCCUGUGGACCUGACACGUGGACUCGCCCUCCUGGGCAUGGCCCCGUGCUCACCUCCCGGCUCACCGUCUGCACCUGCCCCUCAGCCUUCGCCAGCCCCCUGCCUCUCAGGGGAGGCACCGCGUCCUGACGCAGCCCCGCUUCCUGCCCGCUCUUCGCCCCAGCAUGGAGCAAGCCCACGGUUGCUUUACCGGAACUUUUCAGCCACCCUGCAAAGACGAAGUGUGUCUGAGGCUGUGGUUUAAAACCGGGUUGGGGGCCCAGAGCAGCUGCGCAGGAAGCGAGGCUGCUUUUCCAUGAGUUCCCUGGCCAGAGCGUGGUUUCACCUCGGCCCCUUCCUCCCAGGCCUCCAGGGCUACAGCGAGGUUCUUGUUUUGCUGGACCUGUGACACCUGAACACCAAGGGCAUCCACACACGACCAGCGAAGUCCCUUCUCCCUCUGAAGCGCGUGGCAUUAGGUGUCUACCAAGAGAAAUGUGGGCAUGAGGGUACCAGCAGACACUGUGAGGGAAAUUCACAGCAGCCUCAAUCAUACUCGCCAACGACGGGAGUCAAACCACACCUCCUUCAACUGGAGAAGACGUAAAGUGGUGGGAUACCCACACAACGGGAUGCAACACAGCGAGAAGAAAGAACGAAUGCGUCUCACAGACAUGGUGGUGCGUCAAGGGAGCCAGAUGCAAAAAAGAACACCCGCGCUCUUUGACGUCAGUCAGCCGAACUUUGAUGUCCUGACCCCAUCACCAACCAGCUGGAUGACUCUGGGCAGUGUGCAUGCAGGGGUCAAUGGGGUUCAAGGAUGUGACAGCUGCUCUGGACAGCCAAAAGCACUGGACAAGUGUUUGUUGAGGAUGAUGAUGAUUAUUCUAAGUGUUGGCUGAAAGGACCCCUCGGAAUCAUUUCAUAUUCUAUACUGCGCUAGUUGGCCCAAAUCUGGGCAACUCUUUAUUUGUCCUUCUCCUUGUGCCUGCUGCCAGGGCUCAAGGUCUGGCCCUUCCGAACAAGAAGUGACCUCAGAAGACCCCCUAGGUUCUUGCUACUCAAAGUUGGUCAGAAGACUGGCAGGAGGAAUAGCAUCACCUGGGAGCCUGUUAGAAAUGCAGGCUCUCUGGCCCCGCCCCGGACCUCCUGAAGCAGAUGCCUCCUAACCGCAUGCUCAGACGACGACGUGCUUGGGAAGCACUGCUCCCCUCCAGCCUUCUGGUUUACUGCCGAGGAAACAGAGGGUCAGGCACUGCUCUGAGUCACAAAGCAUGUUUGCACAAGAGCUGGAUCCAGAAGCCGGGCUCUGGGGCUCCCAGACAGCUGCCUUUAGCCAGAAGCCUUUGGUUAAGAUGACCUGAGGCAGAAUGCGGAUGAGCUUCCUAAGUAAGGAGGAAAGUUCUGUCUUCUCUCCUGAAAGCCGCCUGGAGGAAAACAAUGCUCCUCCCUGAUGUCGUUCAGCCUGUGGUUUGGGUACAGGUAAGAAGACGGCCCGUCCAAUAGACAGACAUAGACAGUGCCCCCUCUUCCCGGGAAGGUUGGGCAGCAACAUCACAGCAGCUGGACCGUUUUCAAGAUGACUGCUUCCUCUCAGACCUCUUUGUGCCUCAGUUUCCUCACCUGGAAAAGGCACUCUUCCCUGACAAGCAUGUCUUGAGCACCUGCCACGUGCCAGACCUGGUGCCAGGCCCUUGGUAAAGAUUCACAGGUGCUUACAGCCUGGGAGUCAUGCAUGUCACAAGACACAGGAAGGCCACGCACUGUCUGCGAAGGAUUCAAGGAAAAGUCGGGGCAGCGGAGGGACUGCACCCAGAAAAAACGCAGAGAAUCACAAGCCACCACUGUUGGAAACAUCUAUUGGACCCCAUUUGCGAAAGCCGAUCUCUGGAGUCUUAUUAAUUCUCUUUCCGACGAAACCAAACUGCUUAUUCCAUGAACCCCUAUCAGUUGGAGAACGGUAGGCUGAAAGGGGCAUCAGAUUAGAAGUCUCCUGGUCCAUCUUCAUUUCCCAGAAGGGGAACUGAGACCCACAGACGGACAGAGACCUCCCUGGGGACACACAGUGUUAGUGAUAGCAGCAGAAAUCUCCACUCCUUUUCUGAUACACUUUCUAUCUCACAUCCUUCUUCACUCCCUUCCAUGAUGUCACAAUUGAACCAAUAUUGACAAGUGUCCUCCAUCAGCGGGACGAGGGUGAUUGAGACAUGGUCACAGUUAGAUCCCACUCUGGGGAAGCUCACAGAUUAGCACGGGCUCAGCCAAAAGAAGUUCAGCUUAUUUAAAAGCCACGCUAGAAGGAUGAGAGGCGGCCCCCAGUGUGGGGGGCGGGGCUGCAGUGGGCGGGGCCAUUCUAGGGGUUC